CGUCGCGUGGUGUCCGGUGCGCCCC
Molecule: non-coding RNA, 25 nt
Filed under: Arabidopsis thaliana (thale cress)
Lineage: Eukaryota; Viridiplantae; Streptophyta; Magnoliopsida; Brassicales; Brassicaceae
Source: RNAcentral